UGUGUGCCAUCUGUGUUUCC
RNAcentral lists this microRNA (20 nucleotides) under Gadus morhua (Atlantic cod). RNAcentral's name for it is "gmo-miR-11227-5p". The record is from miRBase by way of RNAcentral. Lineage: Eukaryota; Metazoa; Chordata; Actinopteri; Gadiformes; Gadidae.